This 210-nucleotide unclassified non-coding RNA is filed under the name Hevea brasiliensis (rubber tree). Lineage: Eukaryota; Viridiplantae; Streptophyta; Magnoliopsida; Malpighiales; Euphorbiaceae. The record is from RNAcentral.
GACAAAUAACACAUUCAUUUGAAUACAAAGUCAAGAAUCAUGAUGGUCCAAUGAUCUAAGCAAUUUUGACAAAAUUCCAAACCUAUGGUAAACAUGAAUCAAUUAGGUAAACUAAUUAAACAGAAAGAAAUUUGGUUAGAUGAAAAUUGAAAGUUUAUAUGUAAGGCCCCGCCCACAAUUUCGCCUUCCAAAAAUAAAAAUUAAUCAAAA